Molecule: microRNA precursor, 74 nt
Filed under: Ornithorhynchus anatinus (platypus)
Lineage: Eukaryota; Metazoa; Chordata; Mammalia; Monotremata; Ornithorhynchidae
Description: mir-1421 microRNA precursor family
Rfam family: mir-1421 microRNA precursor family
Source: Rfam by way of RNAcentral
CGGUGUGAGAUGGUCACAUGAGGUACAGUGUGAUGGUGGAACACACUGCAUCCCAAGUGAUCACCCUACAUGGC